UACGUAGGGUCCGAGCGUUGUCCGGAGUUACUGGGCGUAAAGCGCGCGCAGGCGGCUUCAUAAGUCUGGCGUGAAAGCCCCCGGCUCAACCGGGGAGGGUCGUCGGAGACUGUGGAGCUUGAGGGCGGUAGGGGCUGGUGGAAUUCCCGGUGUAGUGGUGAAAUGCGUAGAGAUCGGGAGGAACACCUGUGGCGAAGGCGGCCAGCUGGGCCGUCCCUGACGCUGAGGCGCGAAGGCGUGGGGAGCGAACGGG
Molecule: ribosomal RNA, 253 nt
Filed under: uncultured bacterium
Lineage: Bacteria
Description: partial 16S ribosomal RNA
Rfam family: Bacterial small subunit ribosomal RNA
Source: RNAcentral